RNAcentral lists this long non-coding RNA (370 nucleotides) under Salmo salar (Atlantic salmon). RNAcentral describes it as "lncRNA (ENSSSAG00000121297.1, ENSSSAG00075064856.1)". Lineage: Eukaryota; Metazoa; Chordata; Actinopteri; Salmoniformes; Salmonidae. The record is from RNAcentral.
CAAGGGUUAAUGCACGAUCUUCCAUAGAGCGGUAACAGCCAGCCUAUUGCAACCAGGCACGAUACAGCGCUGCCCUUCCUUAUAAGCGCUUAAAUAUGGGAGAGGAACAGAACAGUAACUCAUUCUGGGAAACAGAAUAGCACAGGCAGAGAUGAAAACAUGAAAACUGAGGAGAGGAGAGGAGAAGAGACAAGGGAGGAGAGGAGAAGAGAAGAGAGAAGAGGAGAAGAGGAGAAAAGGAGAGAAGAGGAGAAGAGAAAAAGAAAACCCACCACUGGAUGACAUAGAAGUUUGCAUUUACAUUUCAUCAUCAGUUUGCUGUCGCGGCUGAAGAAGACAGAAUGUGAAAGACACAGCAGAUGAACUACAG